ACUGCCUCUAGAGUUGUUGCAGCUAUGGCACUUAUCACAUGUGUGUCAAUAGCUGGCAGAGAGGAAAGAGGCUAUGUCUACGCUCAGUGUUCUGACCUGUGAACAUCUGAAUCAUUAGUAGCUUAACAUU
Molecule: small nucleolar RNA, 130 nt
Organism: Acomys russatus (golden spiny mouse)
Lineage: Eukaryota; Metazoa; Chordata; Mammalia; Rodentia; Muridae
Product: small nucleolar RNA SNORA17
Exons: 1
Source: RefSeq, a predicted model, not a curated record